Molecule: long non-coding RNA, 840 nt
Organism: Prionailurus viverrinus (fishing cat)
Lineage: Eukaryota; Metazoa; Chordata; Mammalia; Carnivora; Felidae
Exons: 3
Source: RefSeq, a predicted model, not a curated record
UCUCUCUUCUCCUUUGUUUCUUAAUUAGCCCAAGUUCUGGGCAUAUCGAGAAAUAAGGCAAAAACGUAAGGUAGACGAGAGAGCAAAAUAGAACUGUUGUUGAACUAAUGAAAGCUCAGGUAGGGAUAUGGCUUAGGGUGAGAGCCAAGUGGGCCUGACUGAACCCCAGAAGUGUAGACUUCUGUACUCCGUCAUGGGCAACGCUGGACUGAGGCAGGCCUCCUCUCAUGGAGGAGUGAGUGAGAGACUGGGUGAUGUCAAGAGUGUGUCACACGUCCAUUUGGAAGGAGCCACCAGAGCUUGGGAAGCUUCUCUGCUGAGGUCUCCUUGGAGCAGAAGGAGGCUUUGUUAUUCCGUGCCAAGUAAUGAAAUUGAAAGCCAGAGGAAUCUCGGCCUUCCACAGACCCAGAUGAAAGACAUUUCAAGGCAACGAGGAGCUGUUGUGAUCAGGAUGCGGCCUCGACAUCAAAACUUGCAGAACGGGUGUCAGCGUUAAAAGAGGAUCCCAGAGGAGAUCCACUGAUCGCAUGAAGGAUGCUUUUGCGUGGGAAAACAUGGACAUUGGUGACUCUGAUUUGAAAACCACUUUGGAACAGUCAGACUCUGAAUGUUUGAUGUCUCUUCUAUUUUCUUUCUCCUUAAGACACACGGUGAGGUGCCGUAAACAGUCGCUAAGUAGGAGCCAAAAGCAGCUCUUUCAAUAGGCAGACAAUAAAAAUUCACCUCCGAAUUUUAUUGCCAAUGUCUUAUUUACUUUUAACAGGUAUAGAAAACAAUGGCGUGCCCUCUCGUCGAUGGCACCUUCGAUUUGACGGAAAACAGCAUGCAGGAUUCUCCGCG